RNAcentral lists this ribosomal RNA (705 nucleotides) under Triticum aestivum (bread wheat). RNAcentral's name for it is "partial small subunit ribosomal RNA". The record is from RNAcentral. Lineage: Eukaryota; Viridiplantae; Streptophyta; Magnoliopsida; Poales; Poaceae.
AUGAUAGCUGGUGAUUUUAAUGAAAUUUUGUAUUCCCAUGGAAAAGAGGGUGGAGCGGCGAGGCCAGUGCACAUGAUGCAGAACUUUCGAGAUGCUCUUGUUGAUUGUGAGAUGGAGGAUAUGGGAUGCAGCGGUGAUCUUUACACUUGGAGGAGGAGGAGGCUUAGGGAACGGCUGGACAGAGCGGUAUGUAAUGGCCAGUUUCAUGGUUUAUUCCCAAACACAAAAGUCACUAACACUGCUCAUAUAAAGUCGGAUCACAGACCCAUCUUCAUUGACACCGAGGGGGAUGGGCAGGUAGUUUCUCAAACCCAUCGGAAGUGCUUUGAGUCAAGGUGGUUGCAAGAGGAUAAUAUUAUGCAAGUGGUAUCCGAUGCGUGGGAACGUUCAGACCCGACGGCACCAAUUGCAGAACGAACAGCGAGUGUCCAUUCCACUUUGCAUGAGUGGGAUCGCUCGAUUUUGAAGGCACCCCAACGGCGCCUGAAGGAACUGAAGGAGGAGUUGGAAAAGUUGCGGUCGGGCCCUCUCACUGAUGAGGCGGGAGACAGGCAGCGAAUUCUGUUAAUGGAGAUAGAGGAAAACUUGGAAAAGGAAGAGAUUUACUGGGUUGAACACAGCCGAGCAAACUGGCUCAAUUUGGAGACCGCAACACCAAUUUCUUUCAUAAUUUUGCAUCGGUUAGAAAGAAGAGAAACCAUAUAA